CCGUUAAUUUCAUGUUUUUCUAUUAAAAAACAACUGUCUCGAAAGUUGAUCCGAAAAUCUAAAACUAGUCAGCAUCGUGCAGUAACCGAAAUUUUAUUUGUCGAAGGAAUCCAUUGAAUUUGCUGAAAUUGAAUUUGGUUGCGUCGCCUUUCGUCCUCUGACGUCGCGGGGAGUCCUAUUCCGUCGCCAUGAAUGCCAAGCACGGCUAAAUUAAUUUCACGCUCGCGUUUACGGAGUCGCGACGACACGGAAAAAAAGCACGCGUCCACCACAUCUCCGCCUCCGGUGUAACGCGAUUGGUCCAGCGAAUCUACCAAUCGCAGCUUCCACCAGAAUCUGAGAAUUGUACUCGUAGUGGUGAUCACGUGUACGCAUACUCACACGCGGUCAUGUAUGCACGUGUAUGCAUAUGCACGCAAUACGUAUACGGGAACUGUCGCCUCUUUCGAACCAGAGAAGCAACGAGAAGUUUCUUCUCUCGUGAUAACGUUACAAUGCUUUUAACUUUGGUAUGUACAUACAUAUAUUCUUAACAGGGAAAUGAUUAUGAAGAUAUCGUGACUAAAAUACAAAAGAAGGUCUUCGUAGAAUAUAAGGUUAAACUAUACAAAAUACAAAUAAAAUAUGUAAAUUCUUUAGGUGUCUUAUACGAAAUUGAAGUCUAUCGAAAACUAUUCUUAUUAUCUUUUCGAAGCAAAAAGAUAUAUCUCAAUGCUGGCUUUUCGAGAUAAACAAUUGUGUUUCGAUUUUGCAUUUGCACUUUGCACUCAUGCAUUUUGACCCGACGUUUCGUAGAUGUCGCAGUCUACCUCUUCAGGCCAGACCUGAAACUAAAAAGUCUUUGACUCGAAACAUAAAGAGAGGUGCAAAGUGGUCCGAUUUAUAGAGUAUCAUUAUAUAAUAGAUCUAUCUUUACUGCAUUUUAAAAAGUUUAUAUGAAAAUAAUUAUACAAAAAUAAAAAAAAGUGAAUUAGUUCUUUGAAAGAGUUGAUUGAAUUUAUGGAUAAGUAUUUUGUAGAGAUUCGAAGAAGUUGACAGAAGUACAAUAUUCUUUCAAUAAUUGCAUUGAAAACUUUGCGUAUUUAAAGUUGUACGAUACUAUAAGACGACAGUAUGGUGGAAAUUAUACAAAUUUUUCUAAAUUAAUCAUUGUAUCGAAUAUACUAAUAAAUUGAAAAUUCCUUCAUGAAAUUUAUUAAACUUCCUGAGGCAUAGCAAUAAAAAUGCAUCGACUGGAAUUUCGAACAAUAAUGUCAAGAUAAAUGUGAUUCCCUUUCGUCAAAACCUCGCCCAGUCAACAAGGACAUGAUCGAUAUAAGCUAGUCGCGAAAGCGUUGCUAGAGAAACUUGAUAAUCGUAUCAUAUAUAUCGUGUAAACACUCAGAACGAGUUUGGUGGGUCGAGCAAGCAAGAUGUCUUACGAACGAAAUAGGAAUUCUUCGGCUUCGUCCAUGUGGAGACAUAAAGCUUACGAACGACAUCGUAUAAAAGU
Molecule: long non-coding RNA, 1492 nt
Organism: Bombus terrestris (buff-tailed bumblebee)
Lineage: Eukaryota; Metazoa; Arthropoda; Insecta; Hymenoptera; Apidae
Exons: 2
Source: RefSeq, a predicted model, not a curated record